Molecule: ribosomal RNA, 253 nt
Filed under: uncultured bacterium
Lineage: Bacteria
Description: partial 16S ribosomal RNA
Rfam family: Bacterial small subunit ribosomal RNA
Source: RNAcentral
UACGGAUGGGGCAAGCGUUGUUCGGAAUCAUUGGGCGUAAAGGGCGCGUAGGCGGUCCGAUAAGUCGGCUGUGAAAGUCAGGGGCUCAACCCUUGGAAGCCGGCCGAUACUGCCGGACUAGAGUUCGGAAGAGGCGAGUGGAAUUCCCGGUGUAGCGGUGAAAUGCGCAGAUAUCGGGAGGAACACCUAUGGCGAAGGCAGCUCGCUGGGACGUUACUGACGCUGAGACGCGAAAGCGUGGGGAGCAAACAGG